This is a long non-coding RNA of Cavia porcellus (domestic guinea pig), 813 nucleotides long. RefSeq lists it as uncharacterized. The transcript has 2 exons. Lineage: Eukaryota; Metazoa; Chordata; Mammalia; Rodentia; Caviidae. The record is from RefSeq and is a predicted model, not a curated record.
CCUCUUCCUGUCUCAGCUCCCGCCCUCAGCCUAUAAAAGGUGUGAUUAUUUUCUGAAUAAACCGGAGGCUUGAUUGGGUUACAUCAACUUGCCUUCGUCUCUUUUUGUCUCCCCCAUGUCUUUUGUUUAAUCCCCGUUUCUCCUCCAGGAGUUCUGAACUUGUUGAUCUGCAGGCCGGAUCAAGUGGCGCCCAACGUGGGGUCUCCUGGCAUGGAGAAGUUAACGAGGGAGCCGUUCGAGAGACAGCCGGCUUAAACUGAAAGUGAAAGCAAAUUGAACCAGAGACCUCGGCCGAGGAAUGAGUAAACUGAAUCAAGGAUUAAAGCUUAAAGCAACAGGACAUUAAAUCAAGUGCCGAGACCUGCGCAGACGACUACCCGACGUCCUGCCCGAGUCACAGUGACACAUCUCCCUGGAGCCUUAUGCUGCUUAGCCAGCCUUCUUGAGCCACACCACACCCAUGGUGGAUUUCGACCCCUGCCAAACAGACUACAAUUACUGACAGCCAUGCACAGAACCCCAUGACUGCGGAAGAGGCUCUUCUCAGUCUGGAGGAACAUACACCAGCCAAAUAGACUGCAUCCAGUGUUAUGCAAGGCAUGCACCAAGACACAGGAGAAUGACUUCAUACAGAGACACCAACAAAUGACUGUCAACCCCUUCUCCUUGAUUUGGGGGGGGGGGAGUUUUUCCCUUACCUAAUGCCCCUUUUGGGUCCCCUAGCUGACCUAUUGUUUCUCAUUUCUGUGAGUCUUGUAUUUUUCAGAGGAUUAUGAUGUUCAUUAAUAACCGGAUAGACGCAUUUAUGGCAAA